Molecule: non-coding RNA, 857 nt
Organism: Anas platyrhynchos (mallard)
Lineage: Eukaryota; Metazoa; Chordata; Aves; Anseriformes; Anatidae
Source: RefSeq, a predicted model, not a curated record
GCCAAUGGGCGCGGCGGAAGGCGGCCGCCGCCGUCCCGGGCGCGGAGCGGCGGAGCCCCAUUAGGGCGGGGAGCGGCGGCGGGCAGCGGGCACUCGCGGCGGGGGCGGCCGGCGGCGGCUCGGCUCGGCUCGGCUCGGCUCGGCUCGGCUCGGCUCGGCUCGGCUCGGCUCCCGACGGCAGGGCACGGCACGGCACGGCACGGUCCCAGCGCGCUGCCUCCCCCGCUGUCAAUGCGGGCGCCCCGGCGCCGCGGGAGGAUUGAACCCAUUUGAAGGACACCAUUUGUGAGCUGCUUCUUUAAAGCCAUCAUAUGGUGCAUCAGGGCAACUUCUGGACAAAAAACUUCAAGCAUUUAGUAAGCAUUUAGUACCACUGGAGAGCUUUUCUUUUAAAAUGAAUUUCUAAAAGCACAGAAGAAGCCAUCUUGUUUUUCGUUGCACUCUGAAGUUCCUAACUCCUAAGCUGAUGCUUCAUGAGGCAAAACUCUUGGGCAAAUUCACCUGGUUUAAAAAUAAUCACUGAAGCUUCCAAAGACAUUGCCAGUUGUAGUCCAAAGUUAUCACUUUGAGACCAAGUAUAUCUUUUUAAUCAAACAUCUGUACCCUGGUAAAGGCAAAACAUGUAAUUUAAGAAUUUAUUGUCUGUUCAAACAUGUAUAAUUCUCAAGCUGUACCUGUUCAUUUGACCUGCCUUUAGUUUGUUCAAUAAAAUGCUGCAGUAUGAUUGCUACAGAAUACCUUCAAUGUUGGGAACAAGGUUAACUUCUGGCAAAUAUUGAUUACUUUGAUAUUUCUUAGCUGUGCUUCCAAAAAAUAUUAAGAGGAUAUCAAGUAAAGACUUAUAUUUAAAGUCUGAA